Molecule: ribosomal RNA, 467 nt
Filed under: uncultured bacterium
Lineage: Bacteria
Description: partial 16S ribosomal RNA
Rfam family: Bacterial small subunit ribosomal RNA
Source: RNAcentral
ACGCACGCUGGCGGCGUGCUUAACACAUGCAAGUCGAACGGAAAGGCCCUGCUUUUGUGGGGUGCUCGAGUGGCGAACGGGUGAGUAACACGUGAGUAACCUGCCCUUGACUUUGGGAUGACUUCAGGAAACUGGGGCUAAUACCGGAUAGGAGCUCCUGCUGCAUGGUGGGGGUUGGAAAGUUUCGGCGGUUGGGGAUGGACUCGCGGCUUAUCAGCUUGUUGGUGGGGUAGUGGCUUACCAAGGCUUUGACGGGUAGCCGGCCUGAGAGGGUGACCGGCCACAUUGGGACUGAGAUACGGCCCAGACUCCUACGGGAGGCAGCAGUGGGGAAUAUUGCACAAUGGGCGGAAGCCUGAUGCAGCAACGCCGCGUGCGGGAUGACGGCCUUCGGGUUGUAAACCGCUUUCGCCUGUGACGAAGCGUGAGUGACGGUAAUGGGUAAAGAAGCACCGGCUAACUACGUG